Callithrix jacchus (white-tufted-ear marmoset) is the source of this 8598-nucleotide non-coding RNA. Lineage: Eukaryota; Metazoa; Chordata; Mammalia; Primates; Cebidae. The record is from RefSeq and is a predicted model, not a curated record.
CCUAGAGAAGUGGUGGUCCCAUUCAUCUGUCUUUAGAGAGCCUCCUCUAGCAGCUUCUGGAAUCCCAGCCACAGGUUAAGAGUCUCUGCUCAGCACCAUGCUGUGCCUUUGCCGACCAACCUGCCCCUGGCUACUGUGCAGUUUUCCAUACUCCUGUUUCUCACCCUCAGGCCUCCUUCAAGCUCAUCUUGAGACCUGUGGUCAUAGGAUGUCCUUCUAUUCCCAUACCCCAUCACACCUGGGAUUUCACAGCAUGGGGUGCAAAGACCUUGAAACCUAGUGGGGCACACAGCUCUCCAGUUAAGAGCUUCAGAAUCAGACAGAUUUUGGACUUGCCACUCAACUUGUGUGAGCCUCAGUCUUGCUUUGGUGACUUUGGGUUAAACGGAAAGGCAGACCCAGCAGCCUGAGGCUUGUGGAUCAGGAUCUGGUGAUGAAGGAAUAACUGUAACUUAUGACCAGAUUCCACCUUGGAGAGCCUUGUCUAGACAGAAGCCCAGCUCCUGGAGGAAGAGGCAUUUGUUUUUGUUGGGAUGGGGGUAUCUCCUCAGGAACCAUCCUCUCUCCAGCCCCUGGGGAAAGAGCCAGGCUGUACGGGGAGGGGAGCCCCCUGAAAGCAGCCCUGAAGGGUGCCAGGCUUGGCAGAGAGAGGAGGUUCAGGCAGGACUCCUGAGAACCAUGGGAGGGCAGGGAUUCUACAGAGUCCAUGGCAACAUCUAUAUACCAGGUUCCUCAUAUGUAAACUGGUGCCAUGAGGCUGCGUGACACAGGCAGAGAAGCAGAGCUGGAGAAGCUGUCACCGAGUGUUAGCACCCCAGCAGUCUCAGACACCCAUUCUGUUGAUGGAGCUCCUGCCACCUGUCUCACCUUCUAUAUCCAUGGCCUCACCCAAUGGGCGCAACAACUGGCAAAUUCAGGAGGGCUGACACCAAAGAAAUUUUAGGGAGCACUGGCUUUAGUAGCUAGAGGAGGCAUGUGUAGGACCUGGCUCUCCUGCAGAGGUUAUCUUUCCUGCCCUGGAAGCCAUGAAGCGGUCUGCAUCUGGGAUAAGGAGAAGAGGACCUCACACAGAGCACCCCUGGCAAUUCCUAAGCCUCCCUCAUAGCACAGCAGUGAUGAGGUGGCUCAGCCAGGGGAAGGAAAGGCGAGAAUGGGCUCCUGUAGUGCAGUGUGAGGAGCUGACCAAGACCAACUGCUUCACGGACUUCCUCGUGGCAAAGAAAGGCAUUCUGUGUGGCCAGCCCAGUUCUCCCUUCCAAACUUAAAGCCGAAACAUGCUCCUCUAACAACCAUGUUUAUUUCAGCCUAUAGCUGUGCUGGUGGGAAAAACUUGGCUCCUUGGAGCACCUCUUGUUGUGUUUGAGAACAGUGCCUGCCCCUUGCCCCCCUUUCCCUUCCUAAGGCAGCAUCCUCAUGCAUUUCAGAAUGCCCUGGGGGCUGGCUAAGCAGACAGCGCGUGGUCCCGCUCAGGACUCGGGAGGUCUGCUGGCCAUGAGACCACACCUGGAGAAAGCUGAUCGGGAGUGACGGGAGGUUGCCUCUGCUUCAGGGAGGUUGUAGUGACAAGUCAUAGUCUCUUGGGCCACUUGGGUCUGGUGCUUGUCAAUGGCUGUGGUUUGUACUGUGUCUGCCCUUGUCCUGAGCCAGGAACAUCAUGUCCACACUUGGGCUUGGCCUUCCACCCACUCUACAUGUGGAAGGUGCUCAGAUCCAUGACCUUUUCUGUGUAAGAGGGGCAGUGAUCACCAUGCGUGGUCACCAUGGGGCUGGGGUCCAUCCUGCAUGGUGCCAGCUGCUCUCCUGCUGAGUUGUGAGCAUGAACCAGCUGAACCCUGAGGCAUCGGACUUUCUCCUUGACCUCUGGAAGGUACAGGCCCAAGCUGGAGUUUAAGUGAGAGGAAAAAAAUCUCCAAGUAGGACAGCAGAGUGAGGAGGGCAGUACUUGCAUUUCUACCACGUGCCUGGAACUUUUCAUACAUUUGCUCAGUUAAUGCUUGCAGGACCGUUCAAUGUGGGAGCUGUUAUUCCUAUUUUACAGAGAAGAAAGCUGAGGUCCAGGGGGCUUGCUGAGAAGUGGAAGAGCUGACCUGUGAACCCAGAUUUGCCUGUCCUGUGUCCCCUGCAGAGCCAUAGGCUUCCCAGUGCAGUGUGGAAUCCCUGCAGCACCCUGGGCAACUUCCUGAGGUCCCGAGGAGCUGGGGUGAAGCCUGUGUGCCUCUCUAGGCAUGCUCGGCUUUCCUAAGGAAGGUUUCUUUUUCCUAAGAAAGGUUUUGACUCUUUGGUGAUGGGAUGGCCUCCUUUCUAGGGAUUCUGUUGGGUGGUGAAGAGAGCUGUAGGUAUCAGUAGGCAGUGAGGACAAGACAUGGGUGUUGCAUUCAGAUCUCAAGCCCCUCAUUCACUGUGCAUCCUUGGGCAAAUUACUCAAUCUCUCCAAGCUGCCACGCCUGCCUCCAUGAGAGGGUUCACAAGACCCACCAUGCUGGAUGAUUGAGAAUGAGACCAGACACUCCAAAGCUUUGCACAUGGGAGGUCCGCAGGCAAUGAUUUCCACAGGGGAAAUGGUGGGGAAACUGAGGGCAAGAAAUGUUCUCAUCUGGUGGGUGUGGCCCAGGUGGCUUGAGCUUGGACUAUUUGACCUCUGCAGUCUUCGGGCUGAUCUGCCUCUGAGGGUGGCAGACAGGGCCAGGUAAGAGGAUGAGCUGGUGGAGCUACUAUGGCCUGGCAGUCCGGGACAGGGCAAGCCAAGGGGCAGCUCCAAUGUGACCUGGCGUGACCUGGCCCUUGCAGGCAGGCUCAAUGGUGCCAGGCCUAGAACCAGCAUCCAAACACAGUGGGGAGUAGGGAGAGAGCCUCGGAAACUCCUUCAGAGGCUUCCCAAGCAAACCGAAGAGCCUCCCUUUUCCCCGCCUUCCUCAAGCUUCAGGUGAAGGCUUUGAAAUGGAAAAUAUCCCAGAUGAAAUCCUUCCCUUCAGCCAGGCUUGCAGCCCCUUAGCAGCUCAAGUCCACUUGGGAAGGGGGCUCUUAGUGAAAGAGGUGAUCAACUGAGGCAAGGAAAGACAGACCAGAGUGGGGUGGCCCAAAGGAGCCCCUGGGAUUGGUCAAGCAGAGAAUGGAGGAUGAGAGGAAGGCCUGCCUGUCUGCCACGUGUCAUGGCCCAGAAGAACAUCCCUUUCCCUUCAUCUAAGACAGGAAGGUCUCUAGGUCUGGGGAGGAAGCUAUUCAUGGUUGAUCGGUUGUUGGAAUUUUCUUGCUGUCAGAAUUACCCUAGGCCGUCUGAUGCGGGCUUGGAAGGUAAUGCACUUUUCACUGAGCUGGCUUCAGUCUUUCCCCUGAGAACUCAGGUCAGCUGAGCAUCCACUCUGCCUCCCCUUGACAUUAGGAGGCUGUGGAUUAAUCACACUGUAUUCUUCCCACAGGCAGCCCCUUCCAGGAAAUAUUCCAGAGUGAUACUGAUGACUUACAUUGGGGGUGACAUAUCUGAGCAUCAGCAUGUGCUCUGCAUGCUCCAGGUUUGGGUCCUGAUAGGCCUCCAUGGAUCCCUUGUCCUUCCCACUUUGUCCCAUCCACCAGCUCAUGCCACACAACCCUUGGAAACCAAGUAAAAAUGAGGGGGUGUCUGAGGUUUUUCCAAUUAACUAAAUGAAGCAUACGAUUGAGUUAAGGACUAUGGACUGGAUGGAUUUUUUGAAAUGAGGUUUAAACCCUCAAGUGGAAAUAAAACCAAAACCCACUCCAGCCUUGAUGGGCCCAGGCCCUGUUGGGGAGCAGCAGCCCCAUGUGUCCCUGCAGUGUGGCCUUCUCUCGAAGCCCUUUGCUUCCCUCCAGUAACCUAGGGGCAUAUGGAAUGAAAUCCCAAGAGGCAAUGAAAAAGACGGACCAGCCCUGUUCCCACCAGCAGGCUUGGGUUACUGAGAUUUCUGGCAGAGACUGGAAGAAUAGGGCUAUUUCAAGACAUGGGUCUUCCCCUCUUCAGUAGGGGUCUCCAGGGCUUCCUUAGGUCAGGAAAGACACUUAUUUCUGUCCUGGCAAAAAGGCAUCAAGGUGGGAGGAUGCAAGCCCGUCUCUGGCCUUUUCUACUCUCAACACCUCUCACUCCCCAGGUUCCAGGAGACCUAAACCCCUCUGUUCCAGUACACAGCAUUCCGCCAGCCCCCUUUCUCCUCACUGCACACAGUUGCUGCCUUCCCAAUGAGCUUCUGGUCAUCCAAGAGCAGACAAACUCAUUCCCAUCCCAGAGACCCAGGGGCAGAUGUGUGUUGGACUUGAGUCACCCAGAGAAGGCUAUUUAUAAACCACCCCGAUAAGCACAAUCUGCCCUGCUCGGCCCAGGCCACAUGGGCAUGCUGUGUGUCUGGUGAUUCCACUGCUAAGCUAACCCUCCCAGCACCAUGACAGCAAACUGGACAUUUCCUGUACCAGCCAGGCCUGAAAAGUAGGCCUGGGAAGGUGCAGGAGGCUCAGGAGCCAGCCAGCCAUUGGAAGGGUCUGACUUACAAGCUAUUCUGACAGCAAGAACUUUCACUGUUUUUUUUUUUUUUUUGUAUUAAAUUGACCCAUUUCAAGAAGUGUUCUUGUAACACAGUGGUCAGCGAACUUUUUCUGCAAAGGGCCAUAUUGUAAAUGUUUUCAGUUUUGCAGGCCAUAUGGCCUCUGCUGAUAGAGUAUAGAAGCAGCCUUAGACAAUAUGCAAAUGAAUGAGCAUGUCUGUGUGCCAAUAAAACUUUAUUUACAAAACCAGGUGCUCAGACCACACACCAUAGUUACUAGCCACUAGUGUAAAGGGAACUCAAAUGCUGGAAAACAGGACCUCACUUACCACACACAUCUGUUUAAUCUCCCCAGGUUCCUAUACUUAUGGAGCUACGCGGAAGGCCUACACAAUGAUUCUUCUUAAGGCUAUCUAGCUUUCCACACACAUUGACCACUGCCUUACUCAAUGAUCAAUUCUUCUCCACUAGAAAAUUAAAGAGCCAGGCUGCCCAAAGGUGACAGGAGAGUGAACUCAGGACCCAAGCCUUCUCCAGCUCACAAACCUACCCACCUGAGGAAGAUCAGUGACCAGAAGCUGGCCAGACACGGGAAGUCCGUGAAGCUUACCUAAAUAGAGACCCAGCCGGGGGAAACCAAAUGGUGUUCUUGGUGGGGAAGAGGCAAACAGUCCGCACUGCAACACCCGCGUGGUGUCAAGUAACAGUCAGAUUAAACAAACAGCCUCAGCUGCUAUUUUUACAUCCAGAUCAGCCACGAGUAACAGAUCACUUGGGGAGUGAGAAAUUGCUUGCUGCUUAGCCGGACCCUAACCACGAUUCCAACUUGAAUCCAGAACGAUUGCUAAAGCUGUUCCAGCACCUAGAGUCAAAUAAAAAUAUCCCAAGGUGGGAAGGAAAACAUUUGUUUAGGGAAACAUUAAAAACAGGAGAGUGUGUGCCUUGGAGCCAGCGCCUGGAGCCCUGCUGAUGUCCCGGGGCAGAAAUAGCCCGUUUCAUCAUCGGCUCUGGACGACCGCUGCCCGCAUUCCUCGAGAGGAGAGCGUGACCUUAUGUCUUGUUUAGGAUCCUAGGAACGGCAAGCUUUGCUCUGCGGCAGGAGCGAAUGGUGUUUGCUUCAAGUGGCCGAUUGAGGAAAGAGCACCGUGGGAUGGCUGGGGAAUGUUCUGGGGACCAGACAGUGGCGGGUAGCUUUGUCAAUGAUGUCAGCAGGAAGGGUCUGGAGAGAAUAAUAAAACCCAGUUGACCCAUCUGAGGGCUGUCCUGGGAGCAGGCAGCCCUCAGAGCUUGGCUGGAGGUUCCAGCAAGCCUGAGCAUGGCUGACCCCUGCAGAAUCUGAUUUCUCCUGGAAGUGCUCCUACCUGCCCCUUGUAAUAGACUCCAUGUCUGUGCCAGUUACAGUGGGCACCCUGGUGCAGACCAGCCCCAGCCACAGAACUCAGCCCAAACUCCAGACCAAGAACACUCAGGGUCUGCAUGGCCCAGAGCUGGCAUCUGUCCGGGGUACUGGCCCAGGCAAAGUGACCACUCUCGUCCAGUCCAGGAGCUGUGAGCUGCAUGGAAAGAAUGUGAAUGAAGACACAACUCUAAAUGUGGAACCAUGAACGCUAUGUGAGCCAGUGAGUUCCCUAGCCGUCCAGAAAAACAAGGCCCACUUGUACAUUCUAAAAGUGCAUAAAUAAAGCUGUCCUCAGGCGGCAUGCUCUGGUGGCCCAUUCUUGCAGUGGCUUCACUGGCUGUAACCCUCAGCAAGGCCUCUGGAACGCUGUGAGGGCAGCACGGCCACCCAACAGAGUGGGGAGGAGAAGGUCUAGCUAUGGCCUUGCUGCAUCUGGUAAUUGCGAACUUAAUUUUGCAGCAAAUUUAAUCUGCUCCGCAUUGGUAUUAAUUAGAAAUGUUCAAAAGCUGGCAAUAAGGGUAGUGCACAAUAGGUCCUUCCGGCCAAUUUCUGGUUCUAGGUAUUUGAAGUUCACAUCCCUGCAAAUAACAGGAAGCCACUCACCUGAUUCUUCUAGCUUUGUAUCCUGGUUCUGUGACUUCCUGUUGGGAGACAUUUCUUCACUAUCACCCAGCUUUCCUUAGGAGUCACUUCCAUAAUGUUUUUCAGGAGGGUGUUGCAUUUCCCUAUUUGAUAAUAAAAGCAAAAUGAAAGUGCAAGCCAGCGCAUAUAGGAUGCUUACUUUGUGCCCUACAUGGUUCUAAGUCCUCACAUCAAUUAACCUACAUCCUGCAUACUCCUGAUCAUAGGUCCCUGCAUUAUUCUGUCCCAUCCCCAUGAAUCACUGUCCAUCGGGGAGCUAGGGAAGGAUGAGAUAUGGGGAACUGAUAUUUCCUGAGCACUCACUAUAUGCCAGGAAAACACUUUCUGUGCUUUUGUUCCACAAAAUCCUCAGUCUUUCUGUAUGAAGGCAGCUAAUGUUUCCUUUCUUUUGUUUUGCUUUAUUUUGUGUUGUUUUCUUGAGACGGAAUCUUGCUCUGUCAUCAGGCUGGAAUAUAGUGAUGCGAUCUCAGCUCACUGCAACCUCUGCCUGCUAGGUUUAAGUGAUCCUCCUGCCUCAGCCUCCCGAGUAGCUGGGAUUAUUGGCAUGCGUCACCUAUAAUUUUUUGUACUUUUAGUAGAGACAGAAUUUCACCAUGUUGGCCAGGAUGGUCUCGAUCACUUGAGCUCAUGAUCUGCCUUCCUCAGCCUCCCAAAGUGCUGGGAUUACAGGCAUAAGCCACCAUGCCUGGCCUAGUGUUUCCUUUUUACAGAUGAGGAAAAUGAGGCUUACAGAGGUCUCGGGAUGCCACAGCUAAUAGCAGCACAGAGGAUGCAGACAAGGGCUCGCCUGGCCAUCUAUCUAGCUAGUACUCUCCCAGCCCAAGUGCAGGACAGAGCCUUCUCUGACCCAUCUGUUCAUCUUGCCUCUCCCUGCAGUGAAGGCAAUGCCUGCAGGGCACCUCCUUAACUAGUGAUUUGUUAUGGGGAUUCUGUGCCCACUGUAAGCACAGCACGAGUGUGUUUCCGGGGCUGAUGCUGAGAUGGUGCCUCAUUGGAGGAGGGUGCUUCGGGGGCUCAGGCCCCGCUGGGCUGGCCGCCUGGCGAGGGGUCUGAGCAGGAGGACCCCUCUUGCAGGAGCACUGGGUUGGUGGGGUUGUUGCCUGCUAAUGUCUAACUCAGAAGGGCUGGAGUUAUGGGGGCAGGGCCCUGUUUGUAGCUCAUAGCUUGAAAGAGCCCAGGUUGCCAAGGUCCCUUCUACAGGGUUGCUCUUCUCCCCAUCUGACCAGCCUGGUGCUGGGAUGGCAGCUGUCACAGUCAACUGACGGUCACGCUGGCUGGGGACUCUCCUCAAGGCGCUUCCUUCAGGAUUCUUUGCUUAGGACUUUACAGUGGAAGGCUUAGACGUAAGAAAUAGAACCUGUGCUGUGAAAUGAAGAAAAUUCAGUUCACUGAAGUACUAACAAGUCUCACAACAAAGCCAUGGCAAGCAGAUGGGAGGUUGGCUUCCUGGUGGAUCUGGGUGCAGUGGCUCACCUCUCCACACUCAGAGGGAUCUGGAAACCCAGUGUGAAGAGGAGCUGCUCCCUAGAGCACAGGUUGACAAAAGUUUUUUGCAAAAGACAAGAUGGUAAAUAUUUUCAGCUUUGCAGGCCAGUGGGUCUUUGUCAAAAGAGCUCAGCUAGGCCAUGGUAGCACGAAAGCAAUUAGAGACACUCUAAACAAAUGGGAGUAGCCAACACAGUAAAUGAAACUUCAGUUUCAGAGUUUAAAAGAAGAAAGUUGAAUUUCAUAUAGUUUCAAUGUAUUAUAAAUAUUUUUAUUUUGACAUUUUUCCCUCAAUUAUUGAAGUGUGUACAAACCCUUCUUAGCUCACUGGGCUGUCCCAGAACAGACAGCAGAGGGAUUUGGCUCAUGGGCAGUUUGUGACCUCUGUCCUAGAGCCACUUUGUCCACUUGAGUGGCCACCAACCCUAUGUGGUUAAUGAGUACUUGAAACUGCUUGUCAGGUCUGAAUCAAGAUGACCUGUGAGUGUAAAAUGCACACUGGAUUUCCUUAGGACAAAAGUCUUGAUGUUGACAUGAAAAUGCUUUGGAUAUUCUGGGUUUAAUUGAAUACAUUGUUGAAAUUUA